UUGUGAUGCACUUCCACUAUUCCUUGGCUUAUAACCACCACGCGUAAGUCGAAAGAAAAAGAAGAGCACCAGAUCACCUUAAUAAAAAUUGCCGUAUGCAUAUAAUGGACGUAUUGAUAAACGUAGGUUACAAUCCAUAAAUACAUAUUAUGAAACCAACAUCUAUGUUCUUCUGGGCAACCUAAUAAGUAUACAAAUCAGUGAAUGUACGUAUGUUCCAUUAAAUUAAAGGUCAGUUUGGGUUUUGAAUGCAAGUGCUGAUAGAAGAUAAUUCCGGGUAUCCCAACAACCCAUUGUUUCCUUUGGCAUCAUCACCAAAUCCGGCAAGGAGGUAGGCACUAAGAAACCAAACUGAUUACGUUAGUAACCCCUUCGUCCAACAGAAGAACAACUUAGGAAAAAUAAGAAGAGGCGGACAGAUUUUCCUGACCAGCAGUGAAUGGGUCAGCCAUGGCUCAGGCUCCCAAUCGCGUAGAAGAUCAGGGGAAAAAGCAGAUCCCCUCCGACCAGUUUUUAUCAGUAAAAGAGGAGGCGGCUCCUGAGAAGAAACAAAAAUAUAUAAUAUAGCAGUUAACACAAAAUCCAAUGUCAGAGUAAGCAAUAUAGUAUACACUAACAGUCUGAAACAUGCCUUAUGGUAGCUUGUAAGAGCGGGGAUAUGUGAGCAUACACCGCGCCAUUCAAUUUUGUUACCGAAAUCAUUACAAGAAAAUAUGCAGAUUUUUAAAACAUGUAAAAAGAGAGGACAACUGUUAUUGUGAGAUGCACUACUCAAAGUAAGGUUACAGUUUUCUGUCAGUCUUCAGUGGGUAUAUUAUUGCUCUUGAGUGAGAUAGCAGAAUUUUUUUAGCCUGAGAAAUCAUUGCUCAUUAUUAUUUGUACUUAGAUCCAUGGGUGGUAUGGUACAAGAUACAUUCGGCUGUAACCUUGAUACCAUAUUAAGUACAGUAAUGGUCAUAAAUAACACUGCAAAUAACCAUCCAGUAAUUGAAAUAGUAGUGUAAUCAAAUUCAUAUGUCUCCCAACCAUUGAAGGAAUUUGAAGUACUUAUACCUAUAAAUUGAAGCAGAUAAUUGCAGCAAAUCCUAGAUUAUAUCCUACAGAUUGCUCUUAGCUGGGCACAUGCCUGUUAGUGCAGAUUGCACAAUGGCUGAACCUAACAAACCAUGUUACAUCUCCAAUACAGUCAGUGACCAUGCAUCAUAAGCCUUCAAACAGCUACAGAAAAAGAGACGUGCGAAAGAAGAGAAAGAAAAGAGACGCGGUCAACUAUACUCGAGCUCCAGACGGAUCGCCUCUCUCCGUCACCACGCACGAGGGAUGAGGACGACGGCGGCGACACCACGGACUGCUCGGCCUCCUGGUCCGUCUCUCCGACGCCAGGGUGUCCAAUUUUUGGUAGCAUCAUUGAGAAGCAACAAUCAAAUAUUGCGUAUACUCUCGAAGCCGAGGGACUACUGAAGUGAAAAUUCAGCAGAUUAAGCUUCAUGUUCAGAUCCUUUUAUAGUUUCUAAACCUUUAAUCUGUGUGGUCAUCUUUUUCAUUACCAGAACAGAGGAAUUAUAACAAAAUAAAGGGUAGAACUAACCUAAGGUUUUAUUGCCACUAAUCCUUCUAUAGUUUUUCAAUGGUUCAGUUAUCAUGAUUUGAUGGCUAGUCUUGUAGAAAGGAGUAAAGUUCGUAUAGAAAUCUUAAGAACACAAUAACUAAACUGAAGUAUAACCUUCUGAAUCCUUUAAGACGUGAUUUCAUAUUAACAAGUGCAACAAGAUAAAACAACAAAACACACCUCCGCAACGGAAAGGCACAUCGAACGAAGUGAAGACGAACAGGACAGACGAUUGACGAACGAUGACAAACUGCGUGCUCACUUCACACCGACCCGGGGAAACAUAACAUAUAUGGGCACAAAGAGGAGAGAAAAUACAACCGAUGCAAAGGAGAGGGAGGUGAACUCACAAUUCCUCCUCGGCUAGUUUCAUCGACAAUGCUCUGGCUUCACCAUCUAUCCGAAAGUGAAAUUAACAUAUUAGAGUAACAAUAAAAAGAAGUGCUACCAAGAACGUACAAAAUAGAGGUAAAAGCGCUAGGGAAUCUCUGACAGGCGCUUGUUGCAAGCAUACAAAAAUGGAAAAGAAGGAUCCAAAAUUAUGAUUCAAAUCAUUGGCAGUUUCAUUGGCAUCUAUGAACCAAAUACUACAGAAAAUACAUGAUAUGCAUAUAACAUGUAAUCUUUCUCAUGUUAGCAUAUAAUAUAUCAAAAUGUGUGGUCAAUCAGUAAGAUAAUCAGGGUUUUAUAGCAGGUUAGUUUAUGAAUACUCACCUCACAAUGUCACCACUCCUUGUUCAUCUAGAAAUAACACUAUGGGUAAACUGAAGCAGCCCUUCACAUUUCACCAAAAUAUUCUAGCUUUCAAAAGUUCUGCAUAGUAACAGAAGAUAGGAAACAACUACUGAGAUGGCCUUAAAAUCACAAAGAAUCGAGAGGAAGAACACAAAUGGAGUUCAUAGUCCAAGAAAAGGCUGGGUAUUAUGUUUAGAUAUGAUGUCUGGGUCAUGUGCACCUACCCGUCUGCCAAAAUGAACUCCUCGACGCGGAAACAGCCUAGCCCCUAACGAUUUGGGACAUGCAACUUCGUCCUCUCUGCGAAGAAGAGGUCCACGCUGUCACCGUAUAGACACAAGCACCAUCCUGGUCUCCCUCUCCUUGAGCGCCUCAUUCUCCACCUUGCUGUCGGUGGAUGCGGUGGCAUGAGCCAGCGCACCUGGUACACCUCAUUGGUAUUAGCCCUUGAAAGGAACUAACUUAGGUUCGACCACGCAGAGCCCACCGUCUGCAC
Molecule: long non-coding RNA, 2840 nt
Filed under: Triticum aestivum (bread wheat)
Lineage: Eukaryota; Viridiplantae; Streptophyta; Magnoliopsida; Poales; Poaceae
Description: long non-coding RNA (TAES_LNC020702)
Source: RNAcentral